AAAUGUCCUUAUGUUUUUUUGUUCUUCAACUCUUUCUUCUAAUUAUCACUUAGGUGUUGCUGGCCUUAAGUAUUACCUUCACCUACUUGCCCAUUUGUCUUAUUGUAAAAUCCUAUCCAUGUUAAGGAGUGUUUUUGUAGAAGGCUUUCUUUAGGACGUUAUUUCAGAUUCUUUUAUACCUCAAAAGUUGAUUUAUUUUUGGCAAUUUCAUGUUUCUUUCACCUAUUUUUCGUCCUUAUGCGCACUAUGAUUGUAUGACUCAUCGUCUUGACCUUUCAGUUUUACCUUUUUCCACUAAAAAGUUUUGUUUCGUUCUGUAUUUCCAUUUUUCCAUAAACGUGGCUCUCAAUUUUUGUUUGGUAUGUCACGAAGGACCUGGGUACCGUCACUAUGUAUUCGUCGGUGGGGCCAAAGGAAAGUAGAUUAGGGACUUGGAUGUAUUUAUCGGUGGGGUCAGAGGAAAGUGGUGCGUAGGGACGCGAUGUAUCCGAUGGUGCAGCCGAGGAAAGGGUCGAGAUGUAUACGUCUAUGGACCUAAAACAAAGUGGUGGGCACGCAUUAUACCUGCCGGUAGGGCCAAUCGAAUAUGGAGGUUCGGACACAAUGUAUUCGUAGAUGGGAUUUAUGUAUUCGUUAAUGGAGCCAAGGAGGUUAGGGACGCGGUGUACCUAUUCAUUGUCGGGAUCAAGAAAAGUUGAGGAUAAGGACGCGAUGGUUUCGUUGAGGGGACCAAAGGAAAGUUUAGGGCGGGGACGCGAUAUAUUCGUUUUUGGGGCCAUAUUAAAGUUUAGAGUAGGGACGCGAUGUAUCCGUCGGCGGAUUCAAGGGAAGUGGGAGAUAGAGUUUAGAGUAGGGACACGAUGUAUCCAUUGCCUUGUGCAAAAUAAAGUGGAGGGAAGGGACGCAUGAUGUGUUCGUCGAUGGGACCAAUGGAAAGUGGAGUAUCGCCAACCCUGUUGAAAAACGCGGAUGGUUCCACUGAGUUAUUGCCGUUAUUGGAAGUGACUCACCUUUUAACGUGAACGAGUACCUAUCCUUCAUAGUAUUUUCGAGUGUAUCCAGCCACUGUUCUCCACUGUAUCGGCUAUCCCGUUACUAGCGGCUACCCCAUCGAUAACCGUACUCUAAAGGGUUCCAGAACAGCUAAUUCUGAAGUUACUUCGCAAAGUGAGACCCGCAAUCUUUGAAGAGAUUGUCGAUAUCACCCAACGGUUCUGCAGUGCAUCGUUCCUCCCUGACGAAACUUCCCAGGAUAGGCCGGAAUUAAUAAGGCUAAGGAUAUCAGAAGGGCAGCCUUAUAAAGGUAGGAUUUUUCCUCUUUUGCAUGGUGUAUUGCAUGUCAUAUUUUGUGUAAAGGGGGGAAAAGUGAAUAGUGCACAUGGUGACUAAAAAGAAGAUCGUCAACUGUAUUGAGCUAACCGAGAGAGUAGUAAGUGAGUUGUGACUAUCUUCUCAAUCUAUCAUCUUUGCGAUGUAAGAUUGACAUCAAUGAUUCUUAAAAUAGUUCCCUUUCGCAGUCUGCGUCAGUUUGCGUUAUAUUAACAAGUGACUAUAAAUUCAUAGCCACAGUAAUGAUAAGACGUAAACUGACUGGUCGACGAAUUAGACUAAUGGAGAAGUAUUGAAGUCAAUUCUUUCGUUCCCAAGUGCCAUGGAUUUGACGAUUGUUAUACCUCAUUUAUUAUUACAUGAAGAUCGGCUUAAUAGUUUUUAAAAAGAGGGUGAGUAGUUGACUUAAUAAAUAGUAUGUUCGUUUAUUGUUACCGCCGUUGUGAAGCCAUAAGAUCAUUAUACACUUCUUUAAUAAACGAGCAUACUCUUACAAUAAAUUAUUACAUUGUGUGUUUAUGUUGUUUUACUAAUUUCAUUGGUUAUUCACAGGGCCAAGUGAUCGGUCUACUGCCAGCAUCAGUUCUACACAAACAACUCUGGUAGUGGAUCUUGAUUCAAGAUUAUCGUCGUCCCUGUUGAAUAAUUGUAUGGAUAUUGAAUAUGAGAGAGAUUCGAGAAGGGCAGCUAAAGGUAGGAUUUUUCUUUUAUUAAUUUUAAGCAGUGGGGGAAAAGUGAAUAGUGUCUGGAGAUAUUUUCCACUGAUCUUCGUACAUCGUAAGUACAGUUUAGUUGUCUUCUUAUCUUGGUGACAUAAGAUUGAUUGCAAUGAUUCUGCAAAGGUCUCUUUGGCGGAUUCAAUCAAUUUGCAUCAUAUUAAUUUGUAGAAGUAUGAAUUCAUAAUUUUACUUUUUUUAUGAAGCAAAACGAUUGUCUUUGCGAACAAACCUGUGCAGACACAUUGGAAUCAUGUCUUCCGUUCCCAAGUUGAGUGAUAGUCAACGCCCAAUUCUUAACACAAUAAUUUUCGUUUUUCUUAUGAUUAUGCAAUAAUACAUACCUAAUACAUUUUCCUUACAGUAGGUACACCAUUUUAGAAGCAGUUCGUUUGACAGGGGUUUCCAAGGCGUAUGUCAGGUGGACCUUAGUUAGAAGUAGUACUGUUGUAAAUUAAAGCUCACUUCAUGUGGUGUUAUAACCCUUUCGUGUAGUGUUGUUUGUUUGUUAUAAUCAUGAUUGAGAUUAAAAAAUUAAACAUUUCGAGUCGAGAGGUUGAGGGUGGCUGUAAGGGGUGGUAAAGGAGGCCACUAAAAGGGAUAUAGCACCUACAUGUAAUUUGCCUUAUUUAGAUAUGUACCUACUUCCGCCACCCAUUCAUUUUUGGUUCUUCAUUGCAUAAGAAUAAAUAUCUCCCUUUUAAAUAUUUCUUGCUCUUUUACCUUUUUCUUGGUUUUAGUAAUCGCUAAUGCAUCCAAAUCUGUUUUUAAUUCCUUGCUUUUUUCCAGU
Molecule: long non-coding RNA, 2835 nt
Organism: Photinus pyralis (common eastern firefly)
Lineage: Eukaryota; Metazoa; Arthropoda; Insecta; Coleoptera; Lampyridae
Exons: 5
Source: RefSeq, a predicted model, not a curated record